Molecule: transfer RNA, 86 nt
Filed under: Clostridium sp. CAG:343
Lineage: Bacteria; Bacillati; Bacillota; Clostridia; Eubacteriales; Clostridiaceae
Also listed under: 3 other names
Description: transfer RNA-Tyr(GTA)
Rfam family: tRNA
About the family: Transfer RNA (tRNA) molecules are approximately 80 nucleotides in length. Their secondary structure includes four short double-helical elements and three loops (D, anti-codon, and T loops).
Source: RNAcentral
GGGUAGGUGGCCGAGUGGCUAAAGGCGGCAGACUGUAAAUCUGUUCUCAUUCGAGUACGAAGGUUCGAAUCCUUCCCUGCCCACCA